This 649-nucleotide ribosomal RNA is filed under the name Parnassia asarifolia. RNAcentral describes it as "eukaryotic LSU rRNA". The stretch from base 265 to 420 matches the Rfam family "5.8S ribosomal RNA". The record is from RNAcentral. Lineage: Eukaryota; Viridiplantae; Streptophyta; Magnoliopsida; Celastrales; Celastraceae.
AGGAUCAUUGUCGAAAUCUGCAAUGCAGAAUGACCUGCGAACAAGUGAAAAAUCACGGUUGAAAGGCUCAAGGGUUUCCUUAGCCUCUGAACUGAUUGUUGGGGGGAGUGGUCGGGCCUUGUGUCCCCCCUGUCCCUCUCACGAUCUCAAUCAACACACCUCAGCGCGGAAUGCGCCAAGGAAAACUAACACAAGGUACGCUACCCCUUGCACCGUAAAUGGUUGUGUGUGGCCUGCGUAUUUUGCUUAAUCUAAUGUUACGACGACUCUCGGCAACGGAUAUCUUGGCUCUCGCAUCGAUGAAGAACGUAGCAAAAUGCGAUAGCUGGUGUGAAUUGCAGAAUCCCGUGAACCAUCGAGUCUUUGAACGCAAGUUGCGCCUGAAGCCGUCAGGCCAAGGGCACGCCUGCCUGGGUGUCACCCUCCCCAUUGCCCAAGUAGUAACACGCCUCGUCCCACUGAAAAAUGGGAAGAGUGAUGAUGGGCGGAUAAAUGGCCUCCCAUGGCGAAUAUUUCGUGGUUGGCCCAAAGUUAGCACCAGGCUUAGGAAGCCACGACAAGCAUUGGCGAAAAUCUACGGUGAUUCAUCGAUCGUUUUUGUUGUGGUUAGACUUUGUAGCGUGCCAUAAAAUACCUCGGUGCCUUGCAU